Molecule: ribosomal RNA, 452 nt
Filed under: uncultured bacterium
Lineage: Bacteria
Description: bacterial SSU rRNA
Rfam family: Bacterial small subunit ribosomal RNA
Source: RNAcentral
AACGAACGCUGGCGGCAGGCUUAACACAUGCAAGUCGAGCGAAGACUUCGGUCUUAGCGGCAGACGGGUGAGUAACGCGUGGGAACGUGCCUUUCGGUUCGGAAUAACCCAGGGAAACUUGGGCUAAUACCGGAUACGCCCUUCGGGGGAAAGAUUCAUUGCCGAAAGAUCGGCCCGCGUCGGAUUAGCUAGUUGGUGGGGUAAUGGCUCACCAAGGCGACGAUCCGUAGCUGGUCUGAGAGGAUGACCAGCCACACUGGGACUGAGACACGGCCCAGACUCCUACGGGAGGCAGCAGUGGGGAAUAUUGGACAAUGGGCGCAAGCCUGAUCCAGCCAUGCCGCGUGGGUGAAGAAGGCCUUAGGGUUGUAAACCCCUUUCAGCGGGGAAGAUAAUGACGGUACCCGCAGAAGAAGUCCCGGCUAACUCCGUGCCAGCAGCCGCAGUAAAAC